UAAUACGUAGGGGGCAAGCGUUGUCCGGAAUUAUUGGGCGUAAAGCGCGCGCAGGCGGUCAAUUAAGUUUGGUGUUUAAUCCCGGGGCUCAACCCCGGGUCGCAUCGAAAACUGGUUGACUUGAGUGCGGGAGAGGAAAGUGGAAUUCCACGUGUAGCGGUGAAAUGCGUAGAGAUGUGGAGGAACACCAGUGGCGAAGGCGACUUUCUGGACCGUAACUGACGCUGAGGCGCGAAAGCGUGGGGAGCAAACAGGAUUAGAUACCCUGGUAGUCCACGCCGUAAACGAUGAGUGCUAGGUGUCGGGGGUUUCAAUACCCGCGGUGCCGAAGUUAACACAGUAAGCACUCCGCCUGGGGAGUACGCUCGCAAGAGUG
This 376-nucleotide ribosomal RNA is filed under the name uncultured bacterium. Its description in RNAcentral is "bacterial SSU rRNA". It matches the Rfam family "Bacterial small subunit ribosomal RNA", at positions 521 to 896 of the family's 1533-position model. The record is from RNAcentral.